AGGGAAGUAGCAGUGACCUGGUCUCUGCAGAAGGGCUAUCAACAGCAUAGAACAGAUGUCCUACUUUGCUCUCCCAGAUCAUCGUUAUUUUAUGCUAACUCAAUCUGGGGUCUAAAACAUUUGUGUUUCCUUGUAUAGCCCCCAGCAUUUGCAGAUGCUACCCUGGGGCGUAGCAUCACACCUCACCUGCAACAAGAAGAACCUGCAAGGGCAGCAGUCCUGCUUCUGAGCUCCCAAGGGGCUGCCGUGCAUUUUCCUGGCCUUUGGCAUUCAGAUGGUGUGACGGGAAGUCACUGGACAGCCUUCAAAUGCAUUCAACUCCACUGUCUUGCUUCUCCUUCCUUGUGUUGGCCGUGGACCUUAGGAAAAACCUCUGAGCCCAGGUACUGCUUAGCAGCUUCCAACUACUCUGAAAGCAGCAGUAGGUUGCUCCAGACUAUAAAAUCCCUUUAUAAACGACCGCUGACAUUCAGCAGGGCUUGGCGGUGCUGCUUUCCUGCAGCAUUACCUGCCUGCUUCUUGGGACCUCUCUCCUGAUGGCCCCCAAGUGAGUCACAUCCUCUCCUCAGGCACAGCCCCCUGGCCCUGCUGCAGAGGCAGCAUCUUUCUCCCACAGCCAGAGGCGAGCGAGCACCAUCGGGAUGCUGCUGCUGCCGGUCCUGACCCUGGCUGCAGCCAGGUCGCGCAUGUUCCCUCUCUCAGGAGGGCAGCGUGUGGAGCAGCAGCAAGCGGCUCUCAUGCAUACGGCUCUGAGCAGGCGGCUGACAGUGCUCGUUGUAUUAUUUUCUCUCCUUCUGUUCGAUGGGCAAGCACAAGUGCUCCUGCAACAGCGUCAGCCAUCUCUCACCAAAAGGACAUCUAUGACUGCAGUGAUUGAUUGCAAAGUCGAGGGCAUAGAUAACUUCCAGGCUGCUUACAUCCAUUGGUACCGACAUAUACCCACCAGGGCUCCCGAACGACUUCUCUAUGUGACCCCAACAGCACAGAUUUCUUACGAGAAGGAUUCCUACAAGGACAAGUACCACUCUUCUAAAAGAGGCAAAAAUACCUGCACUCUAUCAGUCAAAGACAUACGUGAGGAUGAUGAAGGUACCUACUACUGUGCCUACUGGCAGUCUCACAGAGCGAGAAGAUCGUAGGCAGCCUGUACAGAAAGGUGGCUGCAGCCUGAGUGGCAAGCUUCCUCUCAAAUGCACGGAACCAACGUUACCUUCCUGCAC
Molecule: non-coding RNA, 1220 nt
Organism: Cygnus olor (mute swan)
Lineage: Eukaryota; Metazoa; Chordata; Aves; Anseriformes; Anatidae
Source: the annotation of a RefSeq genome assembly